AUUGAACGCUGGCGGAAUGCUUUACACAUGCAAGUCGAACGGUAGAGGGGGCAACCCCUCGAGAGUGGCGAACGGGUGAGUAAUAUAUCGGAACGUGCCCAGUCGUGGGGGAUAACGUAGCGAAAGUUACGCUAAUACCGCAUACGAUCUAAGGAUGAAAGCGGGGGAUCGCAAGACCUCGCGCGAUUGGAGCGGCCGAUAGCAGAUUAGGUAGUUGGUGGGGUAAGGGCUCACCAAGCCAACGAUCUGUAGCUGGUCUGAGAGGACGACCAGCCACACUGGAACUGAGACACGGUCCGGACUCCUACGAGAGGCAGCAGUGGGGAAUUUUGGACAAUGGACGCAAGUCUGAUCCAGCCAUUCCGCGUGCAGGAUGAAGGCCCUCGGGUUGUAAACUGCUUUUGUACGGAACGAAAAGGUCUCUCUUAAUACGGGGGACUCAUGACGGUACCGUAAGAAUAAGCACCGGCUAACUACGUGCCAGCCGCCGCCGUAA
This 496-nucleotide ribosomal RNA is filed under the name uncultured bacterium. RNAcentral describes it as "partial 16S ribosomal RNA". It matches the Rfam family "Bacterial small subunit ribosomal RNA", at positions 30 to 523 of the family's 1533-position model. The record is from RNAcentral.